This 656-nucleotide long non-coding RNA is filed under the name Mus spicilegus (steppe mouse). Its description in RNAcentral is "lncRNA (ENSMSIG00000028996.1)". The record is from RNAcentral. Lineage: Eukaryota; Metazoa; Chordata; Mammalia; Rodentia; Muridae.
CAAUUACAGAUGAGGGUUUUCCUGGGCUUUGAGAAUAUUUUGGUGAUUCCAUAUGCUUCUAUACAGACCUGGGUAUUGACUGAACAUCAAAAUGUAUUUUAAGAUCUGGUUCCUCAGAAGGCACUGCCAUCUUUAUGAUGAAAAGACCACUCCAUACAAUUCACGUGAAAGCACAUGGAUUUCCUUCUCUAAUAUUGUCAUAUGUAGGAAGACAAGUGAGAGCCACAUAGCACACAGGCAUGAAGGGCUCCCCAGGGACUCUCAUCUGUUACAGACUGGGCUGUACCUGCCUGCCUGUGUGAAAGUUGCUCAGCUGCUGCCCGGAUGAGGGGAACAUAUCACAUCUAUCUCCCUGGCAUCCGCUGAGCCCGCGGCCUGCAAGGAUCAUGCCCCACGUGGAGCACAAAGGCAGGUCUGAAGAGAAAGGCCGACCUUGUGCAUUGUCGGAUGCUCUUUGUGUUGGACGCUGGGGGUCAGCGCUUGCUCCACAUUCUUGCUUACUCUGUGAGACAGGAGGAGAGUUCCCGUGUGCAGGGUGAGGUCACUGUCUUCCUCUGGACAAAAAUGCAAGAUGAUUAAUGGUCAGCCAUUUCCCUACUAUUUAUACCACAGCAUAAAACUUAGGACAUCAAUACAGCUGACAGUUUUGAAACCAG